GACGAACGCUGGCGGCGUGCUUAACACAUGCAAGUCGAACGGAAAGGCCCUGCUUUUGUGGGGUGCUCGAGUGGCGAACGGGUGAGUAACACGUGAGUAACCUGCCCUUGACUUUGGGAUAACUUCAGGAAACUGGGGCUAAUACCGGAUAGGAGCUCCUGCUGCAUGGUGGGGGUUGGAAAGUUUCGGCGGUUGGGGAUGGACUCGCGGCUUAUCAGCUUGUUGGUGGGGUAGUGGCUUACCAAGGCUUUGACGGGUAGCCGGCCUGAGAGGGUGACCGGCCACAUUGGGACUGAGAUACGGCCCAGACUCCUACGGGAGGCAGCAGUGGGGAAUAUUGCACAAUGGGCGGAAGCCUGAUGCAGCAACGCCGCGUGCGGGAUGACGGCCUUCGGGUUGUAAACCGCUUUCGCCUGUGACGAAGCGUGAGUGACGGUAAUGGGUAAAGAAGCACCGGCUAACUACGUGCCAGCAGCCGCGGUGAUACGUAGGGUGCGAGCGUUGUCCGGAUUUAUUGGGCGUAAAGGGCUCGUAGGUGGUUGAUCGCGUCGGAAGUGUAAUCUUGGGGCUUAACCCUGAGCGUGCUUUCGAUACGGGUUGACUUGAGGAAGGUAGGGGAGAAUGGAAUUCCUGGUGGAGCGGUGGAAUGCGCAGAUAUCAGGAGGAACACCAGUGGCGAAGGCGGUUCUCUGGGCCUUUCCUGACGCUGAGGAGCGAAAGCGUGGGGAGCGAACAGGCUUAGAUACCCUGGUAGUCCACGCUGUAAACGGUGGGUACUAGGUGUGGGGUCCAUUCCACGGGUUCCGUGCCGUAGCUAACGCUUUAAGUACCCCGCCUGGGGAGUACGGCCGCAAGGCUAAAACUCAAAGGAAUUGACGGGGCCCCGCACAAGCGGCGGAGCAUGCGGAUUAAUUCGAUGCAACGCGUAGAACCUUACCUGGGUUUGACAUGGAUCGGGAGUGCUCAGAGAUGGGUGUGCCUCUUUUGGGGUCGGUUCACAGGUGGUGCAUGGCUGUCGUCCGCUCGUGUCGUGAGAUGUUGGGUUAAGUCCCGCAACGAGCGCAACCCUUGUUCACUGUUGCCAGCACGUUAUGGUGGGGACUCAGUGGAGACCGCCGGGGUCAACUCGGAGGAAGGUGGGGAUGACGUCAAGUCAUCAUGCCCCUUAUGUCCAGGGCUUCACGCAUGCUACAAUGGCUGGUACAGAGAGUGGCGAGCCUGUGAGGGUGAGCGAAUCUCGGAAAGCCGGUCUCAGUUCGGAUUGGGGUCUGCAACUCGACCUCAUGAAGUCGGAGUCGCUAGUAAUCGCAGAUCAGCAACGCUGCGGUGAAUACGUUCCCGGGGCU
RNAcentral lists this ribosomal RNA (1346 nucleotides) under uncultured bacterium. Its description in RNAcentral is "partial 16S ribosomal RNA". It matches the Rfam family "Bacterial small subunit ribosomal RNA", at positions 28 to 1381 of the family's 1533-position model. The record is from RNAcentral.